This 250-nucleotide ribosomal RNA is filed under the name uncultured prokaryote. Its description in RNAcentral is "partial 16S ribosomal RNA". It matches the Rfam family "Bacterial small subunit ribosomal RNA", at positions 524 to 773 of the family's 1533-position model. The record is from RNAcentral.
UACGUAGGUGGCAAGCGUUGUCCGGAUUUACUGGGUGUAAAGGGCGCGUAGGCGGGCCCGCAAGUCAGAUGUGAAAUACCGAGGCUUAACUUCGGAACUGCAUCUGAAACUGCGGAUCUUGAGUACUGGAGGGGAAAGUGGAAUUCCUAGUGUAGCGGUGAAAUGCGUAGAUAUUAGGAGGAACACCGGUGGCGAAGGCGGCUUUCUGGACAGUAACUGACGCUGAGGCGCGAAAGCGUGGGGAGCAAAC